AGAUGCACCGGUCAAUCGGCCGCCGAUCAAAAAGGCCGGUUUUCUAUCCAACCGGCCCAAUCGGUGACCGGCCGGUCACUGUCGUCAUUUCCGGUUUUUGGCCGGUCACGCUGACACGCAUGCGCAGCAGCUCAACGCGGACAGCUCAAAACUGAACCAAAGUUUUUUUCCUAUAUUGACCUGUAAACUGGACUGAAUGUUAUGGUCAGUGUUCUAAAUAAAUCUGCUCAGGGGGCACUGGUGAAACUCACUAUAUCUUAUUUUUGAUGUUUUAUUCUCAAGCCAAGUAAAUAUGGUGUCUAUUGUAUGAUUAUAAUGAUUUCUUAGAUAGAAAAUCGGUAUCGGUAAAACCGGUUUUGGCAGGUCAGACCCCCUCAAAAACCGGAAAUCGGUAUCGGCCAAGAAUUUUGCAAUCGGUGCAUCUCUAGAAAAGACAGUUGUAGGAGA
This is a long non-coding RNA of Melanotaenia boesemani (Boeseman's rainbowfish), 447 nucleotides long. RefSeq lists it as uncharacterized. The transcript is spliced from 3 exons. The record is from RefSeq and is a predicted model, not a curated record. NCBI's taxonomy places the organism in Eukaryota, Metazoa, Chordata, Actinopteri, Atheriniformes, Melanotaeniidae.